UCUUCCUUCAUCUCACCCAGGACUUCAAAAUUUCAGAGAAAUUUAUCUCUUCAAAUUUCCUCUCUCUUCUUGAGUAUCAGGAACUUGGAUAAAAAAAUUUCAGAUUCAUCUUCAGAUGCUGCAGAUGAGGAAUUUUGGAAUCUUGCUAAUUCAUCAUCAGACGAAGAAUUGAUGAAUUUGCAGAUUAUUGCUCUGCAAGAGAAUGGAAGAAGAAGGCGUCGAGGCUCAAUUCCUGGUCGCAUAUAUAAAGAUAGACAACGAUUGCAAGGCCACCAAACACUCUACAACGAUUAUUUUGCUGAAAAUCAUGUUCAUGAAGAAGUUGUAUUUCGGAGGAGGUUUAGGCUUUUGUGUUUUAAAACCCAAAGACGCCAGUUUAGGCUUUGUGUUUUAAGCAUUAUCUAGGUCGCGAGAAAUAGCAGAACAGAGUUCCAGAACCGAUUUCAGCCUUCGCACUUCCAAAACGUAGCAAAUUCGACCCUAACCCAAAAAAAUGAUAAAAAUCUCUUAGAACCCAUUAGUUUUCUCAAGAAUUUGGCUUUAAAGGAGAUUCUUUUCUCACUUGGAAUUCGAGUUGGAGACUUGGAGCAACCGAGCAAGAGAUUUGGAUUAUGGGAGUUCGAUUGGCAGCAAAAGAUUUGAAGAUUGCAGCAAAAGAAAUUGAUUCAGAAGUUCUAUAUCA
Long non-coding RNA from Rosa rugosa (rugosa rose), 682 nucleotides. RefSeq lists it as uncharacterized. The transcript is spliced from 2 exons. The record is from RefSeq and is a predicted model, not a curated record. Lineage: Eukaryota; Viridiplantae; Streptophyta; Magnoliopsida; Rosales; Rosaceae.